This 224-nucleotide ribosomal RNA is filed under the name uncultured bacterium. RNAcentral describes it as "partial 16S ribosomal RNA". It matches the Rfam family "Bacterial small subunit ribosomal RNA", at positions 524 to 746 of the family's 1533-position model. The record is from RNAcentral.
UACGUAGGGCGCAAGCGUUGUCCGGAAUUAUUGGGCGUAAAGAGCUCGUAGGCGGUUUGUCGCGUCUGCUGUGAAAACCUAAGGCUCAACCUUGGGCUUGCAGUGGGUACGGGCAGACUAGAGUGCGGUAGGGGUGACUGGAAUUCCUGGUGUAGCGGUGGAAUGCGCAGAUAUCAGGAGGAACACCGAUGGCGAAGGCAGGUCACUGGGCCCGCAACUGACGC